UGGGGAAUUUGGACAAUGGGCGCAAGCCUGAUCCAGCAAUGCCGCGUGCAGGAAGAAGGCCUUCGGGUUGUAAACUGCUUUUGUCAGGGAAGAAAUCCUCUGGGUUAAUACCUCGGGGGGAUGACGGUACCUGAAGAAUAAGCACCGGCUAACUACGUGCCAGCAGCCGCGGUAAUACGUAGGGUGCGAGCGUUAAUCGGAAUUACUGGGCGUAAAGCGUGCGCAGGCGGUUGUGCAAGACAGGUGUGAAAUCCCCCGGGGCUUAAACCCUGGGAACUGCAACUUGUGACUGCACGGCUAGAGUACGGUAGAGGGGGGAUGGAAUUCCGCGUGUAGCAGUGAAAUGCGUAGAUAUGCGGAGGAACACCGAUGGCGAAGGCAAUCCCCUGGACCUGUACUGACGCUCAUGCACGAAAGCGUGGGGAGCAAACAGGAUUAGAUACCCUGGUAGUCCACGCCCUAAACGAUGUCAACUGGUUGUUGGACGGCUUGCUGUUCAGUAACGAAGCUAACGCGUGAAGUUGACCGCCUGGGGAGUACGGCCGCAAGGUUGAAACUCAAAUGAAUUGACGGGGUCAUAGCUGUUUCCUG
RNAcentral lists this ribosomal RNA (591 nucleotides) under uncultured bacterium. RNAcentral's name for it is "partial 16S ribosomal RNA". It matches the Rfam family "Bacterial small subunit ribosomal RNA", at positions 356 to 1376 of the family's 1533-position model. The record is from RNAcentral.